This 10929-nucleotide long non-coding RNA is filed under the name Nicotiana tabacum (common tobacco). Its description in RNAcentral is "long non-coding RNA (NTAB_LNC003023)". The record is from RNAcentral. Lineage: Eukaryota; Viridiplantae; Streptophyta; Magnoliopsida; Solanales; Solanaceae.
UCAGUUUGACUGGAAAACAUCCCCCUAAAGGUUUUGACUUGGCUUUAGCCUAGAAGGUAAGAACAAAGUGACAAGAUCCUUUAGGAGAUAGGGGUGCUCUCUUGUGGUUGUAAUUGCAUAUUUGGUUCUCAUGUGCUGCUUUGUGCUGCAAAGGUGACAUGAUUUUGCCUUGCACACUGAUAGUAGGUAUGAAUCCUGAAGAGCAAUCAUUUCAGGGCUUGCCUAUGUUGUAGUGAUUUGCCCGAGAAGAAAAACAUGUAGCACAGUAAUUUCAUGAUUGAAAUGUUACAUCACCUGAGGUAGCAUAAGAUUCUUCUAACUUGAUUUUGUCUGGUUUAUCACAGCUAUACAUACUUGCACUAACAGCCUUGAAUAGGACAUUCCAGGAGUGACUUGGCACACACUUGUACCUUUUCGAGGCAUUUGUAAACUACCGAAUCUGCUGAGCUCUUGCCCAUCUUGUGCUGUAUCUCUGCCACCACUCCGGAACAUGAGUGUAUAUAGUCUGGAUUGUGUGGAAGGUAUUUUAUAUUAGAACUUCAGGAGCUGGUAGAAAUUGACUUACCACUUGUUCCAUGGUAAUGUGUCUAAUGCAAUCACUUCAUUUCUCCUCUCUCCAGACACCUACUAUGUUUUUGUAUCAAUUAUGCAGUUUUGAUUGUUGUGGUUGCUGGCUUUUGGAGUGGCUGGAUGCUAAAGAUGAGGAUUUACCGUUUGGGGGGGGGGGGGGGUGAAUAUUGGUAUCAGUGCUUUAAUUUCUGUUAAGGGGGCAAAUUUUGACUUUUUCCUUUUUCCUCAUGUUUACUCGGUCAAAGUAUUUGUAUUCACCUGUUACCCCGUCUCUAAUCCCCAAAAAAGAAAGAAGUAGAAUUCCUUAAUUUCCUCUCUUUUUUUUUUUUUGGGUGGCUAAGCAAACUGCUAUCUGUUGAAUCGCGUAUGUUGGUGACAUUGGUGCUAUCAAAUCUUUGGUAAUCUCAAGGCGGUAUGCUAAAUGAUGGUUAUCAUAAAAAUAAGAUGAGACUGGGCAGAAAGAUGUUACUUAAAUAUGACAUCGAUAUUCUAGUAAAUUUUAUCGUAGAAGUAUAGUUUUUUUAACAAACCUUAAACUACGUAUUAUAAAUUUGGACUGCUAUUCUUAAAUAAUAUGAAUAUUUCUGUAAUUCGAUUUUCAACGCUGGACCUUUCCGAAAAUCGUAAGGAGAUACACAUGAACAAAAAUCAUCUAGAGUUUUAGAAAGUCCCAUCAUUUCCUUCUGCCUUCUUAAUCACCCGAUCUUUUUUUCCCCUUUUUUUCUGGAAUACCCAAUUUCAACAUAGAGUUCUUCUUAUAUGUAUAGUAUUUACUUAAAUAAUUUAAGAAAAAAUUGAUGAAUAUACUAAUUAAAUAUUAAUAAAUUAAUUUGAUUGACAAAACUCAUGUUAAAACUUAAUAUAUAAUUUAAUAAAUUUAAACUCUUGAAAGGCGUGAUCUGAAUUUUGUAGACUAACAAUAUAAGUAAAUCUUUUUAAAUAUGAUGGUAAGUUAUUACCACUGAGAAAUCGAUCCAAAGUUAAGGGUACUUAUGCCUUUUCAUCCAUCUCUUGAACGUCCAUGGUUACGAGCUUUUGCACUAUGCACAUGCAUGUACACCUGAACAUUUCCCCACCCCACACACCCACAGGAAAAAGGCAGAAGAGGAUUUGACUUCGUUUGAUUGAGAGAAGAAAAAAAAUAAAAAAAGGUAAAGAAAGAAAGAGUGAAGGAAAGAGAAAUAUUCAAUCUGAUUGAAUGCAGUUUUGACGUCCGCAAGAACUCUCUCUCUAACUUUCUCGCUCUAAAGAGGACAGCGCAGAAACUCAGAGAAAACUCUUCUCUCUACUGAAACUUCUUCACUUUGACAAAGCAAAGUCCCCAAGCUAAUUUGAGCUGUGGAUCUUGUUCUAUGCACUUUAUUGCGCGAUUUAGGGCUCGAUCAAGUGAACAUGUAAUUUAUUAAUCACUUGUUUUUAUUUUUCUACUCUCGAAUUAUUUACUGUACCUAGCUUAGUUUUCAGAGGAAUUUUUUUUCGUCUUUUUUAUUUCUCAGUUUUCUGAUUUUCGUCUUUAUUUGAUUAGUGAGUAUGAAGUAUGCUUUGUUUUUUAUUUUUCUUACUGUGUUGAGAUUUGAGUUUUGCUAUGUUUUUAUGGAAGCCAGGGAGAAAUUUGACUCAAUUAAACAAUUUUUUUUUUCUUGCAGGGAUAAGUGGAUAGAGAUAUUUAGUUGAGCAGAAAAAGAGAGGCUUUGGAAGUUUAAGAGUUAAAGCUGCUUGUAGCUUGUACUUGGUUAAAGCUAUUGAUGAUGCACAACAGGUUUUCUCAGCAGUGAGGGUCCUCCCUUUGGUUUGGCUCAAAAUAGGGACUUUGGAAUGUCAAUUGAUGUAGUAGGUUCUGCUUGUUGUUCUGUGUAAUUCUCUUUUCAGAGUGAAGUAUAAAGUCUCCAGAUCUGGGGUGUUAGGCUUCAUUCCGUUUUAGUUUUCUAUAAUUUUUUUAGUGUUUGUAGAUUGUUAUCUAUUGCAUAAAAGAUAUGGUGCCACCAGGACCUCCUAAUCCACUUGGAGGUGCCCAGCCUGUCCCGUCUUCGUUAUUGCGAUCAAAUUCUAGUUUAUUGGGUGGUCAAGGGGGUGGAAUGCCUACCCCAGGUGGUUUCCCUUCUAUUGUGUCACCUCGGACUCAGUUUGGUAACAUGAAUAUGCUAGGAAAUGCUCCAAAUGUUUCGUCUCUGCUCCAUCAGUCCUUAGGAAAUGGUGGUCAUAAUUCAGGGCGAGCUGAUAAUGGGGCCGAGUCUGAUCCAAUGGCCAGUGCUGGCAAUGGUAUGGGGUUUAAUGCUCCUUCAACAUCUUUUAGCUCAUCGGCCAUGGCAGCAAAUCCAAAUUCAGGUCAAGUUCAGGGACAGCGGUUUCCCAGCCAUUCUGGUAACCAGAUGUUAACUGACCAAUCACCGUCCCAACAGCUUGAUUCCCAGAACUACCAACAUAAUCAACAAUUUCAGCAAUUUUCUGCCCCUAGCAAUUCCCAAACACAGCAACAGCAGCAGCAAUUUCAAUCCAUGCGAGGUGGAUUAGGAGGUGUAGGACCUGUCAAACAGGAGCCCCAAGUGACCAAUGAUCAAACUCCACAGCAGUUGCAAGCACUACGAAACCUGGCAACUGUAAAGCAGGAGCCCCAACAGAUACAAAGUAUGAGAGGCCUUGCCACUGUGAAGAUGGAGCCACAACAUUCCUCACCCUCUUUGUAUCUACAUCAGCAACAGCAGCAGCAGCAGCAACAACAGCAAUUACUUCACAUGUCCAAGCAGUCCCCUCAAGCUGCAGCAGCAGCUCAGCUUUUUCACCAGCAGAGGCUUAUGCAGCUCCAGCAGCAACAACAGCAACAACAACUCUUGAAGGCUAUUCCUCAGCAGAGAAACCCACUUCAACCGCAAUUUCAACCACAGAAUCAUACUAUAAGGUCUCCUGUAAAACCAGCUUAUGAGCCUGGGAUGUGCGCCCGUCGGCUGACUCAUUAUUUGUAUCAGCAGCAACACAGGCCUGAAGUAAGAAAACUGUGCCAGCUAUAUUUCUGUGCGGUCCAUAACACUCUGCACCCUACCACACAGCUUCUCUGAUCUUAGUUCUUUUUUUUUAAGCCCUAUGAUGUUACAUUUGCACUACCUUUUUUUAUAGGAUAAUAACAUAGAGUUCUGGAGAAAAUUUGUUGCCGAGUAUUUUGCUCCAAAUGCCAAGAAAAAGUGGUGCGUCUCUAUGUAUGGAAGUGGUCGGCAGACCACUGGAGUUUUUCCUCAGGUUGGUUGUGUUAUUGGGUUUUCUUAUUCAAAUUUGAGUAAUCUUCUUAUUUAGUGAAAUUACCUCUUAUACGGCUUGCCGUUAUGAAAAAAUAAAUUCUUUUUUCAGCUCUAGUAACUAAUUUGGACUUGUUCCUAAAAUGUUAUGCAGUUUUAUGCAGACCAACUUUUUCCUUGUAUAGAAAAUUAGAAGUAAUCACUAUCAUUAAUUUGCAGGAUGUAUGGCACUGUGAAAUAUGCAACCGCAAGCCAGGCCGUGGUUUUGGUAUGUUUCUUUUGGUUUUAUAUCUUUUCUGUGUCAAAGAUUCAUUCUUCUUUGUAACUUUACAAAGCCAUUAUUGUUGACUUGUUUUUUCUGCACCCAUUUGGUUAUCCUUUCACUGUGUCAUCCUAAUUGGGAUCUGAUGUUUCUCAACUUAUUCAUUCAGAAGCGACCGCUGAAGUCUUGCCCAGGCUUUUCAAGAUAAAAUAUGAAAGUGGGACCUUGGAAGAGCUACUCUAUAUUGAUAUGCCUCGUGAAUAUCAGAAUUCAUCUGGACAAAUUGUCCUAGACUAUGCAAAAGCAAUUCAGGAGAGUGUUUUUGAGCAACUUCGCGUUGUACGUGAUGGUCAGCUUCGAAUAGUGUUUUCACAGCCUGAUCUAAAGGUAUAUUGAAGAGCUGAUAGCAUUUUGUUUUCGACAACCAUACUUGUUAAUCAGUUAUUAAGACAUAGCACGAUGCAGAUGAAUGUCUAUUAUUUUCUUUUAUCUGAUUUCCUUUUCGUCAACUUGGCAGAUCAUCUCUUGGGAAUUUUGUGCUCGACGUCACGAGGAGCUAAUCCCUAGAAGAUUGUUGAUACCUCAGGUUGAUCAAUGUUGCUUUGAAGUACUAAUUUACGCUGAUCUCUGUGUAGUCAUGGUUUAACUCUAACCUGACUUGUAUGCUUCUGUUUGCUAAUCCGGUUUAGCAAAAACUCUUUCUUUCUUUUAUAUUUUGUACAAGAGCAGAGGCAUGUUGUCUAGCUAAGUAGCUAUUUGCUACUCAAAUGAGGUCUUUAUUUGUUAAUGUCCCUUCUAGAUAUAUUUGAUGAGAAUGUGGUAUUUGAUGAGGUCUUUAUAUAUGUAUUUCGAACAUGGCCUGAGCAUGUUUUUCCCCCCUCUAAUUUUCCUUUUCAUCAUGACUUGGUAAAGUUUAAAUGCAUCUAAGAGAUUUGACUUGUUUUCCUUUUUCACUUUUAAUUAAUGACCAUCUUGUUAUCAAAACAGAAUAAUGGUUGCUGACCAUCUUACUCUCAUCUCUUGAGGCUCGAUCCAUGGUGGUGAAUUGGUUGGAUCAGUUAGUGGAUUGCGCUAGCCGCUAUUAAUCGCCUUUUCUGACUUAAAUGCAAAUUACCAUCUAUGGGUUUUCUGACUUGAAAGCGAUUAUGCGAAUUACCAUAUAUGGGUGUGGAGUCCAUCAGCAUAAAUGUUGAUCUAUAUCUGUUUUCUUAGGGAUAUUUUUGAGAAGGAUAGCAGUGCAUUGGGUAGUAGUGUUAGACCUUGCCCCUGUUAAGGGUUUGCUGAUGCUAUAGUAUUGCAACAGUGUAGAUGGGUGGCGAAAAAAAUUAAAUUGCCGUUUCAGCUGUUGGCAAUGAUAACCGAGGCCAGUGGAGCCUGAAUUUUGGGGCUUUAAGUUCUGUGUCCGGAGGAAAUUUGUGCUUCUUCAUGCCGAUAUAUCUUUGUAAAGUUUCCUCAUAUUUGUGUUUCCUGUGCUUCUGUGAGCUUUAACUUCUAUAUUGGUUUCUCACAUCUUUUUGGCUAAUUGUUUGUCUUGUCUUGAUAAAGCUCCAUCUUUUAUUUUUUUUGGAUAUAGUGAUUUUUGCAUCCUUUUGAUUUGCUUUUAUGAUUUUCACGCGUAGGUAAGUCAACUCGGUGCUGCAGCUCAAAAGUACCAGGCAGCAACCCAAAAUGGAUCAUCUACUGCAUCUGUUUCUGAGUUGCAGAAUAACUGCAAUAUGUGAGUCCCUGAAAUUUAUGGUACAGUUUUUGUACGAAAUUCUUGGGCUGACAAUAUUGUGCUGUGUCUUUGUGUAACGGAGCCUAACUAUUUUCAUUUAGCAUAUAUAUGUCACUCUAUGUUGUAAAGUUAUUUUCUUAGUAAUUCAUUACGCAUUCCAGUUUUUACGUGGGCAAUAAUGAUGAGCCAUGUCUCACAUGUUAGAUUGCUUUUAAACUAUUAUUUUGUGGGUAUUGGCUUCUUUGAUGAUCUGUGCUGGUACUUCCAUUUUACAAUUUCAUUUUUAGCAGAAUUAAGUUGGGACUGUGGAUGCUAAGGUUGUGAUCUUUGACCAGUCAGUCAUCUGAUGGUUUUAACUCAUAGUGAGUUUGCUGUGAAAUAAUUUUUUAUUUGUUUUAGUUGUGUGUAUGUCUGUUAGCAGAUUUAGCUCAAAUUUUAAUGUUACGGAUUGCUGUCAGUGGUCGUGCUGCCAAGUCUUGGAAGCUCAAUUUCUCCUGAAACCAUAAAUAUGGAUGUCUAGUUGAUACCUGUGGUUUGUUAUAUUUGGAUGAAGAAUUGAAUUGCAGUUGUGUUUGAUUGUUAAAAUGUCUUUAUUAACUAACACGAGCGUCUUGUUGGGUUCUGAAAGCUCAACUUUCCAUUUCCUGAGGAAAUGAAAGAAUAAUGGUCAACUACCUACCCCCGGUGGUGUCCCGACCAGCUUUUGCGCACCUCGACUAAUUUCACGGGGUGCCUGCUAGCUCCCACCAGCACAGGUGCCGGAAAGAACUUUAUCAAACUUCUGAUUUUCCAAUAAAUAAUAAGGAUUAAAUAUAAAAUGACUCGCGUUGUUUGUACCUUUUUUGGGGGGGGGGGGGGGAAACCUAAGUUGCGCGGACUCCUCGUUUUUGGUGUCGUACCCAUCUCGACAGGGGACGGGAGCGAGAUACGUCCCGGAUUUGGUCAACUAACUUCGGAUACUUUGACAUAUGCCCAUCGACAAAUUUAGGGGGAAAUUGAUAUUUUGAUUUCUCAAAAUUAAAAAUAAAACAGAUUUAAGACAUGCGUAAUGGCAUACCUUUAAUAUUGUAGUACUUUUGUCUCAUAUUUGCUGCUUUGUGUUCUAGAAAAACCAAGAAUUCAAGGGGUCGUGUUCUGAGUUUGGACUUAUAGCUCGAUUUUUUAUAAUUUUGAAAUUUUUUAGCCGAAUCCCCGCACCCGUAUCCAUACUUGGAUCCGCACCCCCGAAUCUUAAAAUUUAGAUUUUACCGAAUCCGACACUCGGAUCUGUGCCCGUAUCGGAUGCCCGCACCCGAGUCCGAGCAACUUAGGGGGAAACACAUCUUGUUGUUGUUCAGUGACUGUGUACAAUGGAGCUACAUAUAUUUGGGAGCUAUAUGUAAUAGUGGGAGAAGGGAAAGAAUGAGGGGAAGGUAUAUACAUGCAUACCCUUUUAUGUCAAUCUAUUAACAACUAUGACCUAAUCCCAAAAAGAAGGUUGGCUUAGUCUUACAAAUCCAAAUCCUCUGUAACCUUUCAACUCUAUUAAUAAUCCAAUACUGCUUUGCUUAUAAAUAAUUUUCUUUUAAUGCAAAUUAGGAUUUCUCUAAAUCUUGAGGUUAAUUACUCACAAUUUUUCUUGUAUUGGAAUACCUAUCUCUAACCAAACUAAAAGAUUACUGGCAAACAUCAGAAUUAAUGCGAGUGUAAUAAUAAUACCUAGGCUAUAAUCCUAAUUCGUCGGUGUCACCUAUUUGGAUAAUUUGCUUAUGUUCUGUCCUAGUUAAGUCAGCAUUGACUCGAGAAAUGGUAAUCUUUUGGCAACAACUCCUCGCCAUAUGAUUUUAAGUCGACUCCCCCUUUAGCACCUUCAAUCGUAAUAAAAAACUAUCUAUAUAUAAGGUGCAAAAUUAUGUGUACAUAUUCUUGUAUUCUAGAAAAUUGUUUUAUGCUUGUGUUAAUGGUCAUGUAUUUUUUUAUAUAUCUUUUAUUUUUAAGUAAUAUCAGUUUUGAGAUUUGACUUGUGAUUUUGAUUCAGGUUUGUUGCCUCAGCUCGUCAGUUGGCAAAAGCUUUGGAAGUUCCAUUGGUAAAUGAUCUAGGGUAUACAAAGAGAUAUGUGCGAUGCCUUCAGGUAUGCACCUUGUUCUGAUGCUGGAAGGUUUUUAUUUUGGCCCUUUUUUGGAUUUGUUUGGAGAUAUUCCGCUUGUAUCAAUGUGGAUAUCACUACAAAUUCUUUAAAUAUUUGCUUCUGUUAGUGCUUUUAACUUCCCGACCAGGUCAUGAUUUGCCNNNNNNNNNNNNNNNNNNNNNNNNNUUUUAAUCUGUCAUCUUCCCGUGGAAUUCAAAGCAAAGCUGAAAGGUCAAAAUUCAAAUUUCUAGCAUGUAGCAGCUCAGGGAUGUUGACAAUUUUCUUUUCUCAAUAUUGGAGAUUCGUACUGGUAACUCUGCUCAUGAGUUAAUGUGUGAAGUAGACAGAAUGUAUUUUGGCCUAUUCUUGGGAUAGAGAUUUCUGAUGUAACUCUGUUCCUGUUGAGAAACGUUUUCUUUCACUUUUCAGAUGUUACCCUAUUUCCACAAUUUUAUUUCAUUGCGUCAUAAAGGGUCUAAUGGUACAAGAUAACUUCCAGUUCAGCGAUUUCCCCCCUUCUUUUUACUUUCCAAGUGUUUUUCACGUAGGCCUAGACUUUUUUCCAAUGACAUUUUCACUAUAAAAAUAAACUGACUGAAAAUUGCACAUGUGGUGCAUUCAAGUGAUAAUUCUUCUGAUUUUGUUUUAAUCUUCCUUUCAAUUAACAGUUUCAUGGGAUAUAAUUUCUUAUUCUGCUAUGUACUGCUGGUGCAAUUGCAGAUAUCAGAAGUUGUUAAUAGCAUGAAAGAUUUGAUUGACUACAGCAGAGAGACAAGGACAGGGCCUAUGGGUAAGUCUGCUUGUGUACCUCUACUUGUUCCUGAGGCUAGCUCAAGGUUUUCUGUACCUACCUAUUAAUCUCAAAGAUCAAAAUGAGGUUGCAUGGGCUAAUCUUUCUCUGCUGUUUGAUGGUUUAGAGAUUAGGAUACGAUCGGUUUUCAUCACAAGGCAUAAAUGUUAUCAUCUAAAGUUAAAUUUUCACUAAAGACGAUGAAUUGCUUUUUGAGGUGGCAACUGGUAACUACUAAUGUACAGGUGAAAAAACCCAAACUGGCUGUGUUUGAAUGCAGAUUUCAUUCUAUGUGCCUUUAAGUUGUCGGAGGUAAAAUACUGAUUCAAAAAAAAAAAAGAGCUUCUCGAAUAUAAAGUAGUGGGUUGUGUAGUGUAAGAACUUAACCCUGAGAGUACUGCAUGAAUGUUGGGAUUGAUACAGUUCUUUAAACCUUACAAUUUGUGCUUGAAAUUUGGCUUUUCAGAGAGCUUGGCUAAGUUUCCUCGUAGGAAUGGUUCAUCGGUUGGGGUACAUGAUCCAGCUCAACCAUCUGAGGAUCAGUCUCAGCAGCAGCCACAGUUACAGUCUCAGCAGCAGCAACAGCAACAACAGACGGCCAGUCAGAACUCAAACCACGACAGCUCUGUCCAGGCUGGUGCAAUGCAACUUGCUUCCAGUAAUGGGAUUCCAAGUGUAAACAACUCUUUGAACCCAGCAUCUGUUACUUCGUCUAGUAGUUCUGUUGUUCGGCUAUUGCAUCAAAAUUCCAUGACCUCUAGGCAACAGACCCCAAUGAAUGGUGUGAACAGCCCUUAUGCAGGAAAUGGUGUGAAUAGCCCCUAUGCGGGAAAUGCUGUUCAAAUGCCUUCACCAAGUUCUUCAAAUACAAUGCCACAAUCUCAACCAAACCCGUCUACGUUCCAAUCCCCAACACCGUGUUCAUCAAGCAAUCCACCACAAACUUCUCAUGGUGGCUUAUCAUCAGGACCACAUGUGAAUUCUGCCAAUUCCCCGAAUAUUUCAGUUCAUCAACCCACUCUUUCAGGUGAUAUUGAUGCUAAUGACUCUCAAAGUUCUGUACAAAAGAUCAUACAUGAUAUGAUGAUGUCUUCCCAACUUGGUGGAGGUGGCCUUGUAGGUGGUGGUACCAUGGUGAAUGAUAUUAAAAGUGUAAAUGGUAUGAUAGCAACUGCUAAUAAUUCCAUUCUUAAUGGAAGCAGCUGCCUUGUUGGGAAUGGGACAGCAAAUGCUAAUAUAGGUAUGGGUCCAGGAUAUGGCAACAUGGGCAACGGACUGAGCCAGGCUGCAAUGGCCAAUGGAAUUCGGGCUGCAUUAGGUAAUAAUUCCGUGGCUAUGAAUGGAAGAGUAGGCAUGCCAAUGUCACGAGAGCAAAGUAUGAGUCAACAGCAACAAGAUUUGGGAAACCAACUACUUAGUGGUCUAGGAGCAGUCAAUGGUUUCAAUAACCUUCAGUUUGACUGGAAAACAUCUCCCUAAAGGUUUCGACUUGGCUGUCGCUAAGAAAGUAUGAACAAGGUGACAAGAUCCUUCUUGUGGAUGUAAUUGCUUAUUUGGUCUUCAUGCCACUGCUUUGUGCUACAAAGUUAACGUGAGUUUGCCUUGCAAACUGGGAGUAGAUAUGGUUCCUGAAGAGAGAUCAUUUCAGGGCUUGCUUCCAUUGUACUGAUUUGCGAGAGAAGCAAAAUAUGUAGCACAGUAAUUUCAUGGUUGAAAUGUUACAUCACCUGAGGUUGCAUAAGAUUCUUCUAACUUGAUUUUGUCUGGUUUAUCACAGCUACUUAUUUGCACUAACAGUCUUGAAUAGGACAUUGCAGAAGUGACUUGGCGAACACUUGUACCCUUUCGAGGCAUUUGUAAACUACCGAAUCUGCUGAGAGCUUGCCCAUCUUGUGCUGUACCUCCGUCACCGCUCCGGAACAUGAGUGUAUAUAGUCUGGAUUGUGUGGCAGGAUUUUUUAUUAUAGAACUUUCAGGAGCUGGUAGAAUUGCCUUGCCACUUGUUCCAUGGGCAAUGUGUCUCAUGCAAUCACUUCAUUUCUCCUCUCCCCUGACUCCUACUAUGUUUUUAUAUCAAUAACAGUUUUGAUUAUUGUGGUUGCUGGCUUUUCGAGUGGCUGGAUGCUGAAGAUGAGGAUUUGCCUGGGUGGGUCUUUUCCGGGGGGGGGGGGUGUUGGGGAGGUGGGAAGAGAGUUGGUAUCAGUGCUUGAAUUAAGGGGCCAUUUUUGACUUUUGAGCUUUUCCUUCCUAUGUUU